GACGAACGCUGGCGGCGUGCUUAACACAUGCAAGUCGAACGCUGAAGCUUGGUGCUUGCACUGGGUGGAUGAGUGGCGAACGGGUGAGUAAUACGUGAGUAACCUGCCCUUGACUCUGGGCUAAGCCUGGGAAACUGGGUCUAAUACUGGAUAUGACAUGCCACUGCAUGGUGGUGUGUGGAAAGGGUUUUACUGGUUUUGGAUGGGCUCACGGCCUAUCAGCUUGUUGGUGGGGUAAUGGCCUACCAAGGCGACGACGGGUAGCCGGCCUGAGAGGGUGACCGGCCACACUGGGACUGAGACACGGCCCAGACUCCUACGGGAGGCAGCAGUGGGGAAUAUUGCACAAUGGGCGGAAGCCUGAUGCAGCGACGCCGCGUGAGGGAUGACGGCCUUCGGGUUGUAAACCUCUUUCAGCACGGAAGAAGCGAGAGUGACGGUACGUGCAGAAGAAGCGCCGGCUAACUACGUG
RNAcentral lists this ribosomal RNA (472 nucleotides) under uncultured bacterium. Its description in RNAcentral is "partial 16S ribosomal RNA". It matches the Rfam family "Bacterial small subunit ribosomal RNA", at positions 28 to 507 of the family's 1533-position model. The record is from RNAcentral.